Molecule: transfer RNA, 72 nt
Filed under: Camelus bactrianus (Bactrian camel)
Lineage: Eukaryota; Metazoa; Chordata; Mammalia; Artiodactyla; Camelidae
Also listed under: 2 other names
Rfam family: tRNA
About the family: Transfer RNA (tRNA) molecules are approximately 80 nucleotides in length. Their secondary structure includes four short double-helical elements and three loops (D, anti-codon, and T loops). Further hydrogen bonds mediate the characteristic L-shaped molecular structure. tRNAs have two regions of fundamental functional importance: the anti-codon, which is responsible for specific mRNA codon recognition, and the 3' end, to which the tRNAs corresponding amino acid is attached (by aminoacyl-tRNA synthetases). tRNAs cope with the degeneracy of the genetic code in two manners: having more than one tRNA (with a specific anti-codon) for a particular amino acid; and 'wobble' base-pairing, i.e. permitting non-standard base-pairing at the 3rd anti-codon position.
Source: Rfam by way of RNAcentral
GAGGAUAUAGCUCAGUGGUAAAGUGCUUGCUUAGCAUGCAUGAGGUCCUGGGUUCAAUCCCUGGUACUUCCA